RNAcentral lists this ribosomal RNA (384 nucleotides) under uncultured bacterium. RNAcentral describes it as "bacterial SSU rRNA". It matches the Rfam family "Bacterial small subunit ribosomal RNA", at positions 32 to 407 of the family's 1533-position model. The record is from RNAcentral.
AAUCAACGCUGGCGGCGUGCCUCAGACAUGCAAGUCGAACGAUUAAAGCUCUCUUCGGAGAGUGUAUAGAGUGGCGCACGGGUGAGUAACACGUAAGUAAUCUACCUUCGAGUGGGGAAUACCGUCCGGAAACGGACGCUAAUACCGCAUAAUGCAGCGGCAUCGUAAGAUGACAGUUGUUAAAGAUUUCAUCGCUUGAAGAGGAGCUUGCGGCAGAUUAGCUAGUUGGUAAGGUAAUGGCUUACCAAGGCUACGAUCUGUAACCGGUCUUAGAGGACGGUCGGUCACACUGACACUGAAUAACGGGUCAGACUCCUACGGGAGGCAGCAGUCGGGAAUUUUGGGCAAUGGGCGAAAGCCUGACCCAGCAACGCCGCGUGAAGG